Molecule: ribosomal RNA, 374 nt
Filed under: uncultured bacterium
Lineage: Bacteria
Description: bacterial SSU rRNA
Rfam family: Bacterial small subunit ribosomal RNA
Source: RNAcentral
UAAUACGGAGGGUGCGAGCGUUAUCCGGAAUUACUGGGUUUAAAGGGUGCGUAGGCGGCCAAGUAAGUCAGGAGUGAAAGUUUGCGGCUCAACCGUAAAAUUGCUUUUGAUACUGCUUAGCUAGAAUCAGGAUGAGGUUAGCGGAAUGUGGCAUGUAGCGGUGAAAUGCAUAGAUAUGCCAUAGAACACCAAUUGCGAAGGCAGCUGGCUAGACCUGUAUUGACGCUGAGGCACGAAAGCGUGGGGAGCGAACAGGAUUAGAUACCCUGGUAGUCCACGCCCUAAACGAUGCUCACUCGACGUAUGGCGCUAGACGUUGUGCGUCCAAGGGAAACCGUUAAGUGAGCCACCUGGGGAGUACGACCGCAAGGUUG